Molecule: long non-coding RNA, 372 nt
Filed under: Lupinus mutabilis
Lineage: Eukaryota; Viridiplantae; Streptophyta; Magnoliopsida; Fabales; Fabaceae
Description: partial ncRNA
Source: RNAcentral
CUCGGCUCAGUCUCCUUCAGUACCUUUCUUUUUUUCUCCACCUUCUCUUCAUUGACCUUCCCAUUCCCACGCUUUUUUGAUCCUUUCUCUGUGUCCUCCUCCUUCUCUUCUUGAAUUUUCUCCUUUUCACUGCUCUCAUCUUUGUCUUUAGAGACACCAUCUUCUUCCAUAGCAUCCAAUUCUGGUUUCUUAGCUUCUACGCUUUUCUUUUCACUGUCCACAGUUUCCUUUCCUUUCCCUUUCACCUUCUCUCCAUUGAUCUUCCCUUUCCCGCGCUUUCUCAAUCCUUUCUCAACUUUACUAUCAGCUACAUUUUCUUCUUCUUUUGACUUCUUAACCUUAUCCUCAUCCUUCUCUUCUUGAAUUUUCUUC